AGCCAGCAGCAUUCCCAAGGGACGGGAGUGUGAGCAGUGCCUGCCUCAGCUGGACAGGGAGCAGCUGCAGCCAGUGCUCAGAAUAACCUGAAAUCAUGAGAACUUCCACCCACAUCUGAAAAUCUCCUCAAUGAAGGAUUCACCCUAAAAAAGGAACAGCCACAGCACUGGGUUCUCUCCAGAGGGACUGUGGCAGGAAUAACCUGCAGAAAGCAUCUCCCAAGGUGGGAACAGAGCCACAGGCUGGAAGUGGCUGAGAACAGAAAGUGGAGGCACUGAAUUCAUCUGGGACUGAGGUCUGUUCCUGGACAUGGAGGCCAUAGGAGAAUUUUGAGGGACCCCGGGAAGCAGAGUUUGGAAUCUGCCUGGCCAUGGCUCCUCCAGUCCUGUCAGACCUGGGCUACGUCCCCCCCGAUGGUGGAUGGGGCUGGGCAGUGGUGUUUGGAGCCUCCAUCUCUAUUGGCUUUGCAUUUACCUUUCCCAAAGCUUUCACCAUCUACUUCAAAGAGAUCCAGGCUGUUUUUGGAAUCUCCUACAGCCAGCUUGCCUGGACAACCUCCAUCAUGUGUGCUACCACCUACGGAGGAGG
This is a long non-coding RNA of Oenanthe melanoleuca, 589 nucleotides long. RefSeq lists it as uncharacterized. NCBI's taxonomy places the organism in Eukaryota, Metazoa, Chordata, Aves, Passeriformes, Muscicapidae. The transcript is spliced from 3 exons. The record is from RefSeq and is a predicted model, not a curated record.